This is a long non-coding RNA of Lucilia cuprina (Australian sheep blowfly), 1240 nucleotides long. RefSeq lists it as uncharacterized. The record is from RefSeq and is a predicted model, not a curated record. The transcript is spliced from 4 exons. NCBI's taxonomy places the organism in Eukaryota, Metazoa, Arthropoda, Insecta, Diptera, Calliphoridae.
ACAAUUUUUGUAUUUGCUUUUGGUUGUUGCUGUUGCUUUUGGCUUUACAGAGUCAGUCAGCAGUUUUCAGUCAUCGAGCUAUUAGUUUCUUUUCAUAUUCAUCAGUCGUUUUAUAGCAACGUGAGUGUUCACAACAUCAUCCAAUAAUACCAAGUAGUCGUCCGAGAAGAAAUAGGAACAAAAAUUAAAAUAAACAUAUAAAAAAAUCAUUUAUCUCCUACGAGUACUUGGAACGUUACGCGGACGCGGAGUGUAAGAAAUAAUAAAAAAAAUUAGUUUUAUUUUGUUUAAGUAAUUGUAGACCAACUACACAAAUAUAAACGAAUGAAAAGAAAAAAAUCACUAUCAUCAAUAUAAAAUGUAGAGGAGCAGAGAGAGAGAGAAUGUAUACAUAUGUUUCUGUGGGUCCCUCUCUCUGUUUAUCACACUGUUCGUAUGAAAAUAAGAAGAAUUAGUAGCAAAGUGUUUGUGUGUUUAUAAUAAUGAUGGACUCUGUCUGUCUGUUAUUAUUUUUAUUUUAUAAUAAAACAGAAAUAAAGAAAAAAAAGUGCAAUUGAGUUGUGUUUACCCCACUGUGUAUUUUAAAACACUUAAUAUAAUAGAGAAACAAUUUAACUGUUGUUGUUGUUGCUGCUGCUGCUUCUUCUUUUAUAACAUUAAUAAGGAAGUGUUGUGAUAAAAAAUAAUAAAAUCAAUUUAUUUGUUAAUAAAAAAAAAAGAAGUUUUUAAAGAAAAUUUAAUAUGUUUUAAAUAAAAGAAAAUUUAUUUAUCAAUUUAUUAUUGGUAAAGAAAUGAACAAAGAAACAGCGAAAAAAAACUAGUUUUAUUACAUUUCAAUGGCAGUUCGCAAUUAUUUGUUUGCAAAUUAAUCAAAUCACUAAAAUAGCAAAAAAAAAAAAAAAUAAACUAAUUCAAAUUAAAAAAAAAACGCAAUUAGUAAAUGAGUGAAAUAAUUACAACAAUUGCAAUAUUGGCAAUUGGAACAAAUCCAAUGUUUUUAAAAACUAAUUUAAAACAACAACUCAACAGUUGCAACAUUAAUUAUCAUUAUACAACAACAAAAAGUGAUUUUUAAGUGAGUGUGACCUCAACGUUAAUUAUCACCAAGAAAAAGGAGUAAAACAUAAUGAAAACAGCAGCAUGUAAGUUUGUAAAAGAAAAAAAAAUCAUUAAUUUGACACACAUUUUUUUAGUUUUUAUAAAAAUUUCAAUAUGAGAGAUUGAUAGAGGGACCCCUUGU